Molecule: ribosomal RNA, 413 nt
Filed under: uncultured bacterium
Lineage: Bacteria
Description: bacterial SSU rRNA
Rfam family: Bacterial small subunit ribosomal RNA
Source: RNAcentral
AUCUUGCGCAAUGGCCGAAAGGCUGACGCAGCGACGCCGCGUGUGGGAUGAAGCAUUUCGGUGUGUAAACCACUGUUGCCCGGGACGAACAGCCUGUUUCGACAGGUCUGGCGGUACCGGGUGAGGAAGCACCGGCUAACUCCGUGCCAGCAGCCGCGGUAAGACAGAGGUGCCGAGCGUUAGGCGGAAUCACUGGGCUUAAAGCGCGUGUAGGCGGACCGUUAAGUGCCCGUGUGAAAUCCCCCGGCUCAACCGGGGAACGGCCGGGCAUACUGGCGGUCUUGGGCCACCCAGGGGUCACCGGAACAGGCGGUGGAGCGGUGAAAUGCGUAGAUAUCGCCUGGAACGCCGACGGUGAAAACAGGUGACUGGGGGUGCGCCGACGCUGAGACGCGAAAGCCAGGGGAGCGAAC